Molecule: ribosomal RNA, 100 nt
Filed under: Novosphingobium sp.
Lineage: Bacteria; Pseudomonadati; Pseudomonadota; Alphaproteobacteria; Sphingomonadales; Sphingomonadaceae
Description: partial 16S ribosomal RNA
Rfam family: Bacterial small subunit ribosomal RNA
Source: RNAcentral
AAACUUGAGAGUUUGAUCCUGGCUCAGAACGAACGCUGGCGGCAUGCCUAACACAUGCAAGUCGAACGAGACCUUCGGGUCUAGUGGCGCACGGGUGCGU